RNAcentral lists this non-coding RNA (84 nucleotides) under Streptomyces sp. RNAcentral describes it as "ZTP sequence". It matches the Rfam family "ZMP/ZTP riboswitch aptamer (pfl RNA motif)". From Rfam's summary of the family: Previously known as pfl RNA. ZMP is also known as AICAR. RNAcentral also lists the same sequence under 1 other name. Lineage: Bacteria; Bacillati; Actinomycetota; Actinomycetes; Kitasatosporales; Streptomycetaceae. The record is from RNAcentral.
AUGGCGGGCCGUGACUGGCGCUGAGGUGGAGCACCACCGGGGAGCGGUCCGCAGAACCUGCUGCCGUGCGCCUGGGCGAACCGA